AGCUACUACACUCGCACAAACUGAGAAGAGUUAGUUCAUUGAGAAUGGAUUGAAACUGAUGAAGAGCUGGAAGGAGUUAACUGAUGAGUAGACAUUACAACAUUUCUUAUAUUUGCAAGAUGAAGCUGAAAGUCCCAUGCAGGAUGAUGCUUCUCUACAGUGGAUGAUGAAGGCAUGCUGAUUACAAACCCAGGAGAGGAACAAAGAACAGAUAUUGACAGAAUC
Strongylocentrotus purpuratus (purple sea urchin) is the source of this 225-nucleotide long non-coding RNA. RefSeq lists it as uncharacterized. The transcript is spliced from 3 exons. Lineage: Eukaryota; Metazoa; Echinodermata; Echinoidea; Camarodonta; Strongylocentrotidae. The record is from RefSeq and is a predicted model, not a curated record.